AUUGAACGCUGGCGGCAUGCCUUACACAUGCAAGUCGAACGGCAGCACGGGAGCAAUCCUGGUGGCGAGUGGCGAACGGGUGAGUAAAGUAUCGGAACGUGCCCAGUCGUGGGGGAUAACGUAGCGAAAGUUACGCUAAUACCGCAUACGAUCUACGGAUGAAAGCGGGGGAUCGCAAGACCUCGCGCGAUUGGAGCGGCUGAUAUCAGAUUAGGUAGUUGGUGGGGUAUGGGCUCACCAAGCCGACGAUCUGUAGCUGGUCUGAGAGGACGACCAGCCACACCGGGACUGAGACACGGCCCAGACUCCUACGGGAGGCAGCAGUGGGGAAUUUUGGACAAUGGGCGCAAGCCUGAUCCAGCCAUGCCGCGUGCAGGAUGAAGGCCUUCGGGUUGUAAACUGCUUUUGUACGGAACGAAAAGGUUUGGCCUAAUAAGCUGGACCCAUGACGGUACCGUAAGAAUAAGCACCGGCUAACUACGUGCCAGCCGCCGCGGUAA
RNAcentral lists this ribosomal RNA (500 nucleotides) under uncultured bacterium. RNAcentral's name for it is "partial 16S ribosomal RNA". It matches the Rfam family "Bacterial small subunit ribosomal RNA", at positions 30 to 523 of the family's 1533-position model. The record is from RNAcentral.